AAGUUGUAACAAGGUUUCCGUAGGUGAACCUGCGGAAGGAUCAUUAACACGUAUCCAAACGUUAAAACCCCCAAGGAUAGCGCUUCUACGAUUCCUGUAGAGCGUACACUCGGGCAGGAGCUUUGCCAAAGGGUCCCCAUGCCCCCUAAUAACCCCACAGUUUAAUGUGAAGCUGAAUGUAAUACAUUGGGUAAAAAGACCGAACAACUGUUAACAAUGGAUAUCUUGGUUCUC
Molecule: unclassified non-coding RNA, 234 nt
Filed under: fungal sp.
Lineage: Eukaryota; Fungi
Description: partial internal transcribed spacer region
Rfam family: Eukaryotic small subunit ribosomal RNA (bases 1-46)
Source: RNAcentral